Molecule: RNA transcript, 1771 nt
Organism: Anopheles coluzzii
Lineage: Eukaryota; Metazoa; Arthropoda; Insecta; Diptera; Culicidae
Source: RefSeq, a predicted model, not a curated record
AAUGUCAAACGAUAUGUCAACCUGUUUCUUGGCAUUGUUUACAAAAAGCUAGAAGAACGCGCCUCAAGCCGGAGAGAUUAAAGGAAUAUCGUAAAAUUGUCUUAUUUAAGAUUCACAAUGUCCCGCAAGGAAGCGCUGUCGCAAUUCAUCAACCAAAUUCACGGCCGACCCGUGGUCGUAAAGCUCAAUAGUGGCGUCGAUUACAGAGGAGUGCUUGCCUGUUUGGACGGCUACAUGAACAUUGCCCUGGACCAGACGGAAGAGUACGUAAAUGGGCAGCUGAAAAACAAGUACGGCGAUGCGUUCAUCCGCGGCAACAAUGUACUCUACAUUUCCACGCAGAAAAGAAGAGUGUAAAAGAUGAAAAGCGAACAAUGGUGAAGAAUAAAAAGCAAAACAUUUUCUUAAAAACGGAAGCUGGUAUUGGCGAUCGUGACGAUCAGCAACAACAACAACCACAUCGGUAAAAUGUUAUCAAGCACCAGGGACGGGGCGUGCUGCAGGGAGAGGUGGAAAGUGAAAGUAGGAAUUGUUGCUACAGCGCCGUACUACACGAAGCGAUCGACGAACUAUCCGUACACCUUUCGUAGCGCUGUGUAUGUGUGUGUGUGUGCUUGUUUCACGAAUCGUCUUCGGCUGCUGCAUACCAACGAAACAGCCCCGUUUCGAGAGUGUAAGUAAGUAACGGCCAUUUCAGCUUCAUCUUAUUCUAUCAAUGAAUGAAGGAAAAAGUGCAAUUGCACUUUUUACACACGCGACGAUACCAGGCACUGUGACACAGUGCGUACAGUGCGCUUGAUGUUGGUGCGUCAACGCACACGCGCGCGCACUGAUCAGCGCAAUGUUAAGCGCUACGAAAGAGUUGCCCACGAGUAUAGGCGACGAACCGCUGUACGCAUGCUGUUGUCAUAGUGAACUGAAGUGCAUGCUUUCAAUUGAGUCGCAGCAUGGUUUGUUGAGUUGAGGAAAAAAAAAUGCGUGCUAUCCUUUCCUACUAGGCAGGUAGAUUACGCACGUGUUUUGCGCGGCCGGUUCUUGUGAUCAUCAGCGACUUCUCUGUGGAGAUGAGAUUGGCUUUCUUGUACCAGACUGCUUUUUGGAGGCUGUUUCAAGACGCAACUGAAGGUGAAGUGUCUCAUUUUAUUUUUUUACUUCAAGCCAAGGUAAUUAAGUCUUCUAAAUGCGAAUUUAAAACCUUCUAAUUCAAUUACUCUUGGAGGACACUUACGUACGGCUCGAAGCGAAAGGAAAUAAUGUCAUUCCACCAGAUAAAUAAGAAAGAUUGCUAAAUAAAAUCAUUACCCUAAUGUUGUGCUUGGCAUCCUAUUUGAAAGCAAUCAAAUCGUGCUUUAUCGUGCCGCGACUUAGUCGAUUUAAGACGACCUUUCGGUAAGAGUAGUGUGUGUUUCCUUCUUCUUUGGAGGGUAAAUAAAAAAAUCAUACGCAUCAUUAAACGCAAACCACUGACCUCUGCUGUUUGCUUGCUUGUGUGUCUGUGAGCCGUUGAGUUUUAGGAAGUGUGAAGCGUUUCUUGCCGAAGGGUGUUUCGGGGUUUGUGUGCUCGUGACACAGAUCACACGCAAGAUCGAUCGUGGGUCGGUUCAGGGACCGGGGCCAAAUUGCAUCAUCUCAAUUUGGAAGGCAAUUGGAUGGAUGUAAGUGAUUAGAUUUCAAUGUAUACUGUCCUAAUUUUUUGUGUUGUUUUAUUAAACGCUGUCAAGGGGUACAUAACACGUUUGAAUUAAUCAUAGAAAUAAACUUUAAAUCAGCA